This is a long non-coding RNA of Camelus dromedarius (Arabian camel), 1852 nucleotides long. RefSeq lists it as uncharacterized. Lineage: Eukaryota; Metazoa; Chordata; Mammalia; Artiodactyla; Camelidae. The transcript is spliced from 6 exons. The record is from RefSeq and is a predicted model, not a curated record.
AGAGUGAUCCACUUCCUCUCUAAGUGACUGGUGACUGUCUGGCUGUCAGGGCAGUCUUCAAAUGGGGCUCUUCAAAAAAGAGAAAGAAAAAUACCAUAUGAGAUCUCUAAUAUGUAGAAUCUAAAAAAAAAAGAAGAUAAAUACAAAACAGAAACAGACUCAUAGACAUAGAAUACAAACUUGUGGUUGCCAAGUGGGCAGCGGGUGGGAAGGGACAGACUGGGAGUUCAAAAUUUGUAGACACUGACAGGCAUAUGUAGAAUAGAUAAACAAGAUUAUACUGUAUAGCACAGGGAAAUAUACUCAAGGUCUUGUGGUAGCUCACAGAGAAAAAAAUGUGACAAUGAAUAUAUGUAUGUUCAUGUAUAACUGAAAAAUUGUGCUGUACACUGGAAUUUGACACAACAUUGUAAAAUGAAUAUAACUCAAUAAAAAAUGUAAAAAAGUGGGGCUCUUCAAGGCCACCUACUUGUUCACAAAGGGCAGCCCGUGUGACCUGAGCUGGAAUUAGCAGGUGACUUUUCCCCCAUGGGCCCUUGAGGGCAGCUGAGCAAAGGGCCACUUCUGAGGGUUGGUACAGCCCCAACAGAGGCCAAAACCUGUGAGGGAAGAUAGACGGUCCUUAAAUAUUUAGGCCACCUUAUGAACUAUUCUGCUACCCCCUAGAUCUCCUUGGAGAGUGCCACGGUGGGGGCCAGGGUCUUCUGGAACUAGAAGACCUUAAUUGGCCCCCUGCCUAGGAGGUCUUGGGUCCUGAGCUCAAUUUCCCCUUCACAGCAGCUGCCACCCUCAGAAGCAGCCGGCAAGCUUGCCCUGGAAAGUUCCUCACCUCAGGGCAUCCCUUGAGCAUCGGAGGGGGUUGCUGAGCCAACACAAGCAUAACUUUACAUGGUGAGAAGAGGAGCAGGUGGCUGCUUCAGAGUGUGUGGCGGCUCCUCUAGUCAAGGUCACCAAGAGGAAAGGAACAAGUCAACAGAAAAAUACUAUGUUAUUAUUUUACAAUUUUAUUAAAAUUUAAUAAAUAAUUAUAGAAAAAGAAAGAAAGAAAGAAAGAAAAAAAAAAAAAAGAAAGAAAAGGAAAAGAAAAACAAUCCUGGUCAUAAAAGUCACUACAGACACCCUUUCCUGCGACCCUGUGCCCUGAGGCAGAGGAGGUAUUUCUGAGAUGAAAAUGAGGCCUGAUCAUGGAUUAAACAAUACUGAGGGGAAAAAUAAACCAGAAAAGUUGGUAUAUGCCCCUUUUUGAGACUUGUCCAGUCUGCAGGGUGAAGGCUCAGAUCCCUUUGGAGUUCGCCAGACUUAGCAGGCUCAGGCUCCCAAGGUUUUAGAGUUACAAACUUUGGAAAGAAAAUAAUUUCCAAACUUUGAUGCUAAUUAAGAGAAGGAGGCAACCUCUGGCUCUUAAUCCUCCACUCUUCAGGGCAAGUGGAGCCUGGGACCUGAGAAACAAGGCAUGCUGAGGACAACAUCAAUUUAGUACCCAUUAUGUGUUCUCCUGAUGCAGUACCCCGGAACCUUUUCUAAUAAAGACUCUGGGUUAGUGCUGAUCUAGUCUCUUUGCUAUUCUUAUUUUGUAACUAAAAAGACUCUUUUGAGUCCAGAUAUUACAGUAAGGGUUCAGUCUGGAUAUGGGAUCAGGUAUAUUCCAAUCAGUUUCCCCAAGGAGCCAACAAGCCAUGGAUUCAUUUAUGACAUCAGCCGUGCUUAUAAGCUAAAUCUCAUGUUCUCAGUGAAGCAUUUCCAAAGUCACUUUAGUCAUAUGUGACUGGUGAAAAUAUUUGAAGCCGGAAAAAGGAAAGUGUUCCUUGGAGACAAACUAUCUCAAAUUAAUAAAAGGUGAUACUGAGACAAU